GGGUUGUGAGGUUAAGCGACUAAGCGUACACGGUGGAUGCCCUGGCAGUCAGAGGCGAUGAAGGACGUGCUAAUCUGCGAUAAGCGUCGGUAAGGUGAUAUGAACCGUUAUAACCGGCGAUUUCCGAAUGGGGAAACCCAGUGUGAUUCGUCACACUAUCAUUAACUGAAUCCAUAGGUUAAUGAGGCGAACCGGGGGAACUGAAACAUCUAAGUACCCCGAGGAAAAGAAAUCAACCGAGAUUCCCCCAGUAGCGGCGAGCGAACGGGGAGGAGCCCAGAGCCUGAAUCAGUGUGUGUGUUAGUGGAAGCGUCUGGAAAGGCGCGCGAUACAGGGUGACAGCCCCGUACACAAAAAUGCACAUACUGUGAGCUCGAUGAGUAGGGCGGGACACGUGGUAUCCUGUCUGAAUAUGGGGGGACCAUCCUCCAAGGCUAAAUACUCCUGACUGACCGAUAGUGAACCAGUACCGUGAGGGAAAGGCGAAAAGAACCCCGGCGAGGGGAGUGAAAAAGAACCUGAAACCGUGUACGUACAAGCAGUGGGAGCACAGAGCAAUCUGUGUGACUGCGUACCUUUUGUAUAAUGGGUCAGCGACUUAUAUUCUGUAGCAAGGUUAACCGAAUAGGGGAGCCGAAGGGAAACCGAGUCUUAACUGGGCGUUAAGUUGCAGGGUAUAGACCCGAAACCCGGUGAUCUAGCCAUGGGCAGGUUGAAGGUUGGGUAACACUAACUGGAGGACCGAACCGACUAAUGUUGAAAAAUUAGCGGAUGACUUGUGGCUGGGGGUGAAAGGCCAAUCAAACCGGGAGAUAGCUGGUUCUCCCCGAAAGCUAUUUAGGUAGCGCCUCGUGAAUUCAUCUCCGGGGGUAGAGCACUGUUUCGGCAAGGGGGUCAUCCCGACUUACCAACCCGAUGCAAACUGCGAAUACCGGAGAAUGUUAUCACGGGAGACACACGGCGGGUGCUAACGUCCGUCGUGAAGAGGGAAACAACCCAGACCGCCAGCUAAGGUCCCAAAGUCAUGGUUAAGUGGGAAACGAUGUGGGAAGGCCCAGACAGCCAGGAUGUUGGCUUAGAAGCAGCCAUCAUUUAAAGAAAGCGUAAUAGCUCACUGGUCGAGUCGGCCUGCGCGGAAGAUGUAACGGGGCUAAACCAUGCACCGAAGCUGCGGCAGCGACGCUGAUGCGUUGUUGGGUAGGGGAGCGUUCUGUAAGCCUGUGAAGGUGUACUGUGAGGUAUGCUGGAGGUAUCAGAAGUGCGAAUGCUGACAUAAGUAACGAUAAAGCGGGUGAAAAGCCCGCUCGCCGGAAGACCAAGGGUUCCUGUCCAACGUUAAUCGGGGCAGGGUGAGUCGACCCCUAAGGCGAGGCCGAAAGGCGUAGUCGAUGGGAAACAGGUUAAUAUUCCUGUACUUGGUGUUACUGCGAAGGGGGGACGGAGAAGGCUAUGUUGGCCGGGCGACGGUUGUCCCGGUUUAAGCGUGUAGGCUGGUUUUCCAGGCAAAUCCGGAAAACUAAGGCUGAGGCGUGAUGACGAGGCACUACGGUGCUGAAGCAACAAAUGCCCUGCUUCCAGGAAAAGCCUCUAAGCAUCAGGUAACAUCAAAUCGUACCCCAAACCGACACAGGUGGUCAGGUAGAGAAUACCAAGGCGCUUGAGAGAACUCGGGUGAAGGAACUAGGCAAAAUGGUGCCGUAACUUCGGGAGAAGGCACGCUGAUAUGUAGGUGAAGUCCCUCGCGGAUGGAGCUGAAAUCAGUCGAAGAUACCAGCUGGCUGCAACUGUUUAUUAAAAACACAGCACUGUGCAAACACGAAAGUGGACGUAUACGGUGUGACGCCUGCCCGGUGCCGGAAGGUUAAUUGAUGGGGUUAGCGCAAGCGAAGCUCUUGAUCGAAGCCCCGGUAAACGGCGGCCGUAACUAUAACGGUCCUAAGGUAGCGAAAUUCCUUGUCGGGUAAGUUCCGACCUGCACGAAUGGCGUAAUGAUGGCCAGGCUGUCUCCACCCGAGACUCAGUGAAAUUGAACUCGCUGUGAAGAUGCAGUGUACCCGCGGCAAGACGGAAAGACCCCGUGAACCUUUACUAUAGCUUGACACUGAACAUUGAGCCUUGAUGUGUAGGAUAGGUGGGAGGCUUUGAAGUGUGGACGCCAGUCUGCAUGGAGCCGACCUUGAAAUACCACCCUUUAAUGUUUGAUGUUCUAACGUUGACCCGUAAUCCGGGUUGCGGACAGUGUCUGGUGGGUAGUUUGACUGGGGCGGUCUCCUCCUAAAGAGUAACGGAGGAGCACGAAGGUUGGCUAAUCCUGGUCGGACAUCAGGAGGUUAGUGCAAUGGCAUAAGCCAGCUUGACUGCGAGCGUGACGGCGCGAGCAGGUGCGAAAGCAGGUCAUAGUGAUCCGGUGGUUCUGAAUGGAAGGGCCAUCGCUCAACGGAUAAAAGGUACUCCGGGGAUAACAGGCUGAUACCGCCCAAGAGUUCAUAUCGACGGCGGUGUUUGGCACCUCGAUGUCGGCUCAUCACAUCCUGGGGCUGAAGUAGGUCCCAAGGGUAUGGCUGUUCGCCAUUUAAAGUGGUACGCGAGCUGGGUUUAGAACGUCGUGAGACAGUUCGGUCCCUAUCUGCCGUGGGCGCUGGAGAACUGAGGGGGGCUGCUCCUAGUACGAGAGGACCGGAGUGGACGCAUCACUGGUGUUCGGGUUGUCAUGCCAAUGGCACUGCCCGGUAGCUAAAUGCGGAAGAGAUAAGUGCUGAAAGCAUCUAAGCACGAAACUUGCCCCGAGAUGAGUUCUCCCUGACCCUUUAAGGGUCCUGAAGGAACGUUGAAGACGACGACGUUGAUAGGCCGGGUGUGUAAGCGCAGCGAUGCGUUGAGCUAACCGGUACUAAUGAACCGUGAGGCUUAACCUUACAACGCCGAAGGUGUUU
RNAcentral lists this ribosomal RNA (2933 nucleotides) under Escherichia coli. Its description in RNAcentral is "bacterial LSU rRNA". It matches the Rfam family "Bacterial large subunit ribosomal RNA". The record is from RNAcentral. Lineage: Bacteria; Pseudomonadati; Pseudomonadota; Gammaproteobacteria; Enterobacterales; Enterobacteriaceae.